AAGAAAAACUUGAAGAACCAGAGGUUGAGGAGAAACAUGAAAAACCAGCAGCUGAAGAGAAACCUAGAGAACUAGUAGUUGAAGAAAAAGCUGAAGAACCAACACCGGAAGAACUAGAAUUUGAAGAGAAACCUGAAGAACCAACUGCUGAAGAAAUACCUGAACAAUUAGUAGUUGAAGAGAAAUCUGAAAAACCAGAGGUUAAAGAGGAGAAGUCUGAAAAGGUAACUCUCUUGGAAAAAGUGAGGAUCAAGCACUAUCACAAAGUUUAUCCAUCCUAUUAGUUCUGUAUGUGCAAAGAUUCGUAUCUACUUAUCAAUUGAAAGAUUAAGUGAAACUUUAAAUUCUUCUUGCAGAAUAUGUCAGUUGUAGAUUUCAAUGAGAAGACUGACAGUGAAAUUCCAUGCAAUACCAACAAUGAUGUUGCCGACUAUGUAUCAGUUGAGGCAAACCUUGAAGAACCGGUAGUUGAAGAAAAACCUGAAGAAACAACGGUUGAGAAGAAACCUGAAGAACCAUCAAUUGAGGAGAAACGUGAAACACCAGCAUUUGAGAAGAAACCUGAAGAACCAAUAAUUGAGGAGAAACCUGAAGAACAAACAAUUGAAGAGGAGAAACAUGAAAGGAUAACUCUCCUGGAAAAGGUGAGGAUCAAGCAUUGUCACAAAGUUUAUCCAUCUUGUUAGUCGUGUAUACGAUACAAUUUACAUAUGCUUACCUACUGAAAGACUAAGUAAGACUUUAAAGUUCUUCUUGCAGAGUAUUCCAGUUGUAGUCCCGAACGACAAAACUGAAAGUAAAACUCCAAGCAUUACAAACAAUAAUGCUGCUCACUUUUCAGAAGUUGAGGAAAACCCUGAAGAACCUGCAGUAAAAGAAAAAACUGAAAAACCAGUUCUUGAAGAGAAACCUGAAGAACCAACAGUUGAAGAGAAAUCUGAAGAACCAGUUGAGGAGAAACCUGAAGAACCAACAGCUGAAGAGAAACCUGAAGAACCAGCAACUAAAGAAAAACAAGUGCUAGUAGGGGAGGAAACAGCUGAAGAACUAGCGCUUGAAGAGAAACCUGAAGAACUAACGAUUGAACAGACAGAUGAAGAACU
This 1103-nucleotide long non-coding RNA is filed under the name Nicotiana tabacum (common tobacco). RNAcentral's name for it is "long non-coding RNA (NTAB_LNC000707)". Lineage: Eukaryota; Viridiplantae; Streptophyta; Magnoliopsida; Solanales; Solanaceae. The record is from RNAcentral.